UCCCCUGUCGUCCCUCGUUGUUCCCCGCCGCUUGAUGCCAUCCCCCGUCGUCCCCCGUUGUUCCCCGCUGCUUGCCGCUGUCCCCCAUCAUCCCCCGCCGUUCCCUGCAGUCCCCCGCUGCUUGCCGCCAUUCCCCGCCAUCCCCCGCCGUUUCCCCCGCUGCCAACGCUUGCCCCCUCCAGCUGCCAUCCCCCGUUGUCCCCUGCUGUUCCCCCGUCAUCUGCUGGCGUGCCCCACCGCUCUCCGCCGUCCCCCGCCGCUCGACGCUGUCCCCGCCGCUCGACGCCGUCCGCUGCCAUUCCCCAUCUCCUGCUGUUCCUCCCCUUGCCGCUGUUCCCCGUCGUUCCCUGUCAUUCACCGCCGCUCUCCAUCGUCCCCCAUUGCUCGCCGCCGUCCCCCGCCGCUCCCCGCCGUUUCCCCGCUUCCGCCACUUGCCCCCACUUGCCGCCAUCCCCUGUCGUCCCCCGUCGUUCCUCACCGCUCGACGCUGUCCCCCGUUGUCCCCUGCCGUUCCCCCGUCAUCUGCCGGCGUCCCCCGCCGCUCUCCGCCAUCCCCCGCCGCUCUUCGCUGUCCCCCGCCGCUCGCCGCCGUCCGCUGCCAUUCCCCAUCGCCUGCUGUUCUUCCGCUGCCACCACUCGCCCCUCCUUGCCGCCGUCUCCCGUCGUUCCCUGCCGCUCGACGCCGUCCCCCGUCGUCCCCCACUGUUCACCGCCGCUCGCCGCUGUGCCGUGUUGUCCCCCGCCGCUCACCGCCGUCCCCUGCCGUUCCCCCGCUGCCGCCACUUGCCCCCUCUUGCUGCCGUUCCCCGUCGUCCCUCAUUGUUCCCCGCUGCUCAAUGCCAUCCGCUGUCGUCCCCCGUCGUUUCACGCUGCUUGCCUCCGUCCCCCGCCGCUCACUGCCGUCCCCCGCCAUCGUUCCCUGCCAUCCCCCGCCGCUCCCUGCUGCCACCUCUCACCCCCACUUGCUGCCGUCCCCCGUGGUUCUCUGUCAUUCCCCGCCGCUCGCUGCCAUCCCCUGCCACUUGCCGCUGUCCCCCGCUGUCCCCCGCCGCUCCCCUGCCAUUCCCCGCCAUUUCCCUGCUGCCGCCGCUCGCCACCAUCCCCCGCCGCUCGCUGCCGUUCCCC
RNAcentral lists this long non-coding RNA (1125 nucleotides) under Numida meleagris (helmeted guineafowl). Its description in RNAcentral is "lncRNA (ENSNMEG00000000938.1)". Lineage: Eukaryota; Metazoa; Chordata; Aves; Galliformes; Numididae. The record is from RNAcentral.